CUAUAAACAUUUGUGCACAAGUUUUGGUGUGGAUAUAUGUUUUUUUCAUGAAUAUACGGUUGGUCCUUCCAGAACACAAGUUUGAAUUAUGUGGGUCCACUUAUGCGUGGAUUCUUUUCAAUAAAAAUAUUUGAAGGUUCUGAGGAGAUUAGCGACAAUGUGAAAACUUAGCAGAUGAACCACCAUCCUUGAGGCAGCAAGACCAACUCGUCCUCUUCCUCCUCCUCCUCAGCUUGCUUCUUAUGAAGAUGAUGAGACUGAUAACCUUUAUGAUGACCUACUUCCACUUAAUUAAAACCCAGAGUGCAGUGGUGUGAUCCUCACUGCAGCUCCUAACUCCUAGACUGAAGUGAUCCUCCCAUCUCAGCCUCCUUGGGUAGCUGGAUCUACAGGCCCGGACCACAGAGGUAAUUGUUUUUAUUUUUUGUAGAGAUGGGGCCUCACUUAUGUAGCCUAUGCUAAUCUCAAACUCCUGGCCCCAAGCAAUCUUCCUGCCUCAGUCUCCCAAACUGUUGGGAGUCACAGACAUGAGCCACUGUGCCUGGCCUCUUAUGAUUUUCUUUUCUUCUUUUUUUUUUUUUUUGAAACAGAGUCCCACUAUGUCGCCCUUGGUAGAGUGCCAUGGCAUCACAGCUCACAGUAACCUCUAACUCUUGGGCAAUUGUCUUGCCUCAGCCUCCCAAUUGGCUGGGAUUACAGGCGCCCACCACUACGCCCAGCUAUUUUUUUGUUGUAGUUGUCAUUGUUUAGCAGCCCUCGCAGGUUCCAACCUGCCAGCCUGGGUGUACAUGGCCGGUGCCCUAACCUGUGAACUACGGGUGCCGAGCCAUGAUUUUUUUAAUAAUAUAUUCUUUUUCUUUCCUUUUCUUUUUUCUUUUCUUUAUUUCUCUCUCUUUUUUUUUUUUUGAGACAGAAUCUCAAGGAGCCCACCACAACGCCCAGCCAUUUUUUUGGUUGUAUUUGUCAUUGUUAUUUGGUGGCCAGGGCUGGAUUCGAACCUCCAGUGUAUAUGGCUAGUGUUCUAGCCACUUGAGGUACAGGUGCCAAGCCAUAACAUUUUCUUUUUCUCAAGCUUACUUCAUUGGAAGAAUAAAGUAUAUAAUACAUCUAUAACACACAAGUAUGUGCUAAUCAUCUGUUUAUGUUAUUGGUAGGGCUUCCAGUCAACAGCAGUUUAUUAGUAGUUAAGUUUUUCAGGAGUCAGAAGUCACUUGCAAUUUUCUACUGGGUGGAGGGCAGCGGCCCCCACGCUCAUGUUGUUCAAGGGUGAACUGUAUACUACAGUGGAAUUGCUGGAUUAUAUGGUAACUCUAUGUUUGAUCAUUUGAGAAACUGAAGAGGAUUCCUGGUGCCCCAGGAGUUCAGGCACAGGGGAAGUGGCCAUGCCUGGGCCUGCUUGCCA
Nycticebus coucang (slow loris) is the source of this 1402-nucleotide long non-coding RNA. RefSeq lists it as uncharacterized. Lineage: Eukaryota; Metazoa; Chordata; Mammalia; Primates; Lorisidae. The transcript is spliced from 3 exons. The record is from RefSeq and is a predicted model, not a curated record.